ACGCACGCUGGCGGCGCGCCUAACACCUGCAAGUCGCACGGAGCUGAGAGAAGCUUGCUUUUCUUAGCUUAGUGGCGAACGGGUGAGUAACGCGUGAGUAACCUGCCCUGGAGUGGGGGACAACAGUUGGAAACGACUGCUAAUACCGCAUAAGCCCACGAUCCGGCAUCGGAUUGAGGGAAAAGGAUUUAUUCGCUUCAGGAUGGACUCGCGUCCAAUUAGCUAGUUGGUGAGGUAACGGCCCACCAAGGCGACGAUUGGUAGCCGGACUGAGAGGUUGAACGGCCACAUUGGGACUGAGACACGGCCCAGACUCCUACGGGAGGCAGCAGUGGGGGAUAUUGCACAAUGGGGGAAACCCUGAUGCAGCGACGCCGCGUGGAGGAAGAAGGUUUUCGGAUUGUAAACUCCUGUCGUUAGGGACGAUAAUGACGGUACCUAACAAGAAAGCACCGGCUAACUACGUG
RNAcentral lists this ribosomal RNA (467 nucleotides) under uncultured bacterium. Its description in RNAcentral is "partial 16S ribosomal RNA". It matches the Rfam family "Bacterial small subunit ribosomal RNA", at positions 29 to 507 of the family's 1533-position model. The record is from RNAcentral.